Molecule: ribosomal RNA, 253 nt
Filed under: uncultured bacterium
Lineage: Bacteria
Description: partial 16S ribosomal RNA
Rfam family: Bacterial small subunit ribosomal RNA
Source: RNAcentral
UACGGGGGGGGCAAGCGUUGUUCGGAAUUACUGGGCGUAAAGGGUUUGUAGGUGGCUUGCUAAGUCAGACGUGAAAUCCCUCAGCUUAACUGGGGAACUGCGUCUGAGACUGGCAAGCUCGAGUGCAGGAGAGGAACGCGGAAUUCCAGGUGUAGCGGUGAAAUGCGUAGAUAUCUGGAGGAACACCGGUGGCGAAGGCGGCAUCCUGGACCGGCAUUGACGCUGAGGAGCGAAAGCUAGGGGAGCAAACGGG